Molecule: ribosomal RNA, 358 nt
Filed under: uncultured bacterium
Lineage: Bacteria
Description: bacterial SSU rRNA
Rfam family: Bacterial small subunit ribosomal RNA
Source: RNAcentral
GACGAACGCUGGCGGCGUGCCUAACACAUGCAAGUCGAACGGGACCAGGGGCAACUCUGGUUCAGUGGCGGACGGGUGCGUAACACGUGAGGAACAUGACCUUCGGCGGGGAGUAGCCGGCCCAACGGCCGGGUAAUACCGCGUACGACCACUUUGGGACAUCCUCGGUGGUGAAAGCAGCAAUGCGCCGAUGGAGUGCCUCGCGGCCUAUCAGCUAGUUGGUGAGGUAACGGCUCACCAAGGCGACGACGGGUAGCUGGUCUGAGAGGAUGGCCAGCCACAUUGGGACUGAGACACGGCCCAGACUCCUACGGGAGGCAGCAGUGGGGAAUAUUGCGCAAUGGACGAAAGUCUGACG